Molecule: ribosomal RNA, 468 nt
Filed under: uncultured bacterium
Lineage: Bacteria
Description: partial 16S ribosomal RNA
Rfam family: Bacterial small subunit ribosomal RNA
Source: RNAcentral
GACGAACGCUGGCGGCGUGCUUAACACAUGCAAGUCGAACGAAAAGGCCCUGCUUUUGUGGGGUGCUCGAGUGGCGAACGGGUGAGUAACACGUGAGUAACCUGCCCUUGACUUUGGGAUAACUUCAGGAAACUGGGGCUAAUACCGGAUAGGAGCUCCUGCUGCAUGGUGGGGGUUGGAAAGUUUCGGCGGUUGGGGAUGGACUCGCGGCUUAUCAGCUUGUUGGUGGGGUAGUGGCUUACCAAGGCUUUGACGGGUAGCCGACCUGAGAGGGUGACCGGCCACAUUGGGACUGAGAUACGGCCCAGACUCCUACGGGAGGCAGCAGUGGGGAAUAUUGCACAAUGGGCGGAAGCCUGAUGCAGCAACGCCGCGUGCGGGAUGACGGCCUUCGGGUUGUAAACCGCUUUCGCCUGUGACGAAGCGUGAGUGACGGUAAUGGGUAAAGAAGCACCGGCUAACUACGUG